Molecule: ribosomal RNA, 253 nt
Filed under: uncultured prokaryote
Description: partial 16S ribosomal RNA
Rfam family: Bacterial small subunit ribosomal RNA
Source: RNAcentral
UACAGAGGGUGCAAGCGUUAAUCGGAAUUACUGGGCGUAAAGCGUGCGUAGACGGUUGUCUAAGUCGGAUGUGAAAUCCCCGGGCUCAACCUGGGAAUUGCAUUCGAGACUGAACAGCUAGGGUGCGGAAGAGGGAAGCGGAAUUUCCGGUGUAGCAGUGAAAUGCGUAGAUAUCGGAAGGAACAUCAGUGGCGAAAGCGGCUUCCUGGUCCAGCACCGACGUUCAGGCACGAAAGCGUGGGGAGCAAACAGG